ACUCCUACGGGAGGCAGCAGUGAGGAAUAUUGGACAAUGGGCGGGAGCCUGAUCCAGCCAUGCCGCGUGCAGGAAGACUGCCCUAUGGGUUGUAAACUGCUUUUAUACGGGAAGAAACACUCCCUCGUGAGGGAAUUGACGGUACCGUAAGAAUAAGGAUCGGCUAACUCCGUGCCAGCAGCCGCGGUAAUACGGAGGAUCCAAGCGUUAUCCGGAAUCAUUGGGUUUAAAGGGUCCGUAGGGUGGACGAUUAAGUCAGAGGUGAAAUCUUGCAGCUCAACUGUAAAAUUGCCUUUGAUACUGGUUGUCUUGAGUUAUUAUGAAGUGGUUAGAAUAUGUAGUGUAGCGGUGAAAUGCAUAGAUAUUACAUAGAAUACCCAAUUGCGAAGGCAGAUCACUAAUAAUAUACUGACACUGAUGGACGAAAGCGUGGGUAGCGAACAGGAUUAGAUACCCUGGUAGCUACGAGU
RNAcentral lists this ribosomal RNA (470 nucleotides) under uncultured bacterium. RNAcentral describes it as "bacterial SSU rRNA". It matches the Rfam family "Bacterial small subunit ribosomal RNA", at positions 335 to 802 of the family's 1533-position model. The record is from RNAcentral.